UUAAAGUAUGAUGUGAUUUUAUACCGCCCCAGUCUGAACUUUAAUGACUGAUUGGUGUAUCUGACUUCA
This 69-nucleotide small nucleolar RNA is filed under the name Oryctes borbonicus. The record is from RNAcentral. Lineage: Eukaryota; Metazoa; Arthropoda; Insecta; Coleoptera; Scarabaeidae.